UACAGAGGCCCCAAGCGUUGUUCGGAUUCAUUGGGUGUAAAGGGUGCGUAGGCGGCGCGGUAAGUCGGGUGUGAAAUCUCGGAGCUUAACUCCGAAACUGCAUUCGAUACUGCCGUGCUUGAGGACUGGAGAGGAGACUGGAAUUUACGGUGUAGCGGUGAAAUGCGUAGAUAUCGUAAGGAAGACCAGUGGCGAAGGCGGGUCUCUGGACAGUUCCUGACGCUGAGGCGCGAAAGCGUGGGGAGCAAACAGG
Molecule: ribosomal RNA, 253 nt
Filed under: uncultured bacterium
Lineage: Bacteria
Description: partial 16S ribosomal RNA
Rfam family: Bacterial small subunit ribosomal RNA
Source: RNAcentral